Molecule: transfer-messenger RNA, 368 nt
Filed under: Actinomycetota bacterium
Lineage: Bacteria; Bacillati; Actinomycetota
Rfam family: transfer-messenger RNA
About the family: Bacterial tmRNA, also known as 10Sa RNA or SsrA, is named for its dual tRNA and mRNA-like properties.
Source: RNAcentral
GGGGGUGACAGGUUUCGACGGACAGAUGUUUUGACCGGUGAAGCGUGUCGAGAAUCAAGGUGAUCUCGUUAAGAAUCCUUGAAAAAUAUAACUGCCAAUAAAACGCAGUCUGCAGACGCUUACGCCCUCGCGGCAUAAGUACAUAUCUGCCGUCAGCCCGAUGUGUCCCCGAAUCGGAUGCUGACGUCGCUAGGGGACUCACCAAAUGUGCCGGUCACGGGUGCAGGAGGAAAGCCAAACAGUGACUGGACCGCCCGGAGUAGUGCCGCACGAAGCACCGGGGUCAAGACAGCGAUAGCGCGGCUACACACGUAGAAGAACGGAAAGGGCCUGCCUGGACCCGGGUUCGAUUCCCGCCCCCUCCACAA